UUUACUAUAUAAUGCCAACAAUGGAUGCCUUGGAGAUUUUGGCCGAGGAAGGACGCAGACGGCGGCGAUACUCGUCGGGGAAGUGCCAUCAACUUUUGAUCCGGCGGUUUCCGAAUGGGGGAACCUAGCCCGCUUAGCGGGUUGGCCACCUAUGAAAUUAAUCAGCAAUGGUUAUAUUAGUAUGUGGCUGGGCACGGCGUGAACUGAAACAUCUUAGUAACGCCAGGAGUAUAAAUCAUAUGAGAUUCCGUCAGUAGCGGUGAGCGAAAGCGGAAAAGGCUAAACCUACUUUUUAGUAGGGGUUGCAGGGCAGACGAUAUUCGAUGUGUUUUUUCUAGCAGAAAGAUCCGGAAUGGUCUUCCAAAGAGAGUGAAAGACUCGUACGCGAAAGGAAAAACACCGAUAGACUGUUCCUAAGUACCAUGGAGCACGAUAAACUCUGUGGGAAUCUGGGUCGACCACGAUCCAAGCCUAAAUACCAAAAUCUACCGAUAGUGAACUAGUACCGUGAGGGAAAGGUGAAAAGCACCCCGGAAGGGGGAUGAAAGAGAACUGAAAUUGUUGGCUAACAAGCAGACAGAGUACAUUCGGGCCGCAAGGCCCUCAGUAUGAUGUCGUGCCUAUUGAAGAAUGAGCCGGUGAGUUUUUGAUUGCUGCAUAGUUUAACCAAUUUUCAUUGGGGAGACGAAGUGAAAGCGAGCCCUAACUGGGCUAUGAUUCCUUUGGAAUCAAGUAGCAAUCAUUAAACCCGAAACCGGGUGAGCUAACCUUGGGCAGGGUGAGUCCUUCAGAGAUGGAGGAGGAGGCCCGAACUCGUGUCCGUAGCAAUGGGCUGAGAUGACCUGAGGUUAGGGGCAAUAUGCCAAACGAACCCGGAGAUAGCUGGUUCUCCCCGAAAUAUAUUAAGGUAUAGCGCUAUGUAUAACCCGAGGGGUAGAGCACUGAAUGGUUCAUGGCUGCGCAAGCGGUUAUAACCAAUCAAACUCCGAAUACUCGGUCUUUAGCAUAGUAGUCAGACUUGUCGGGCUAAGCUGAUGAGUCAAAAGGGAAACAGCCCAGACUCCCAAUUAAGGCCUCUAAAUAAGAGCUAAGUUUUUAAGGAAGUCACGAUCCAGAGACACCCAGGAAGUUGGCUUAGAAGCAGCCAUCUUUUAAAGAUAGCGUAACAGCUCACUGGCGGAUGGUUUGUGGCGCCGAAAAUUUACCGAGGAUUAAGCUCUUUGCCGAAAUUGGAGAUUCCAUAACAAUUUAUUGUUAUGGUCUGGUAGGGGAGCGUUCUAUUUGCUGUGAAGUUGUGGUGUAAACCAUGGUGGAGCGGAUAGAAGUGAGAAUGCCGGCAUGAGUAGCGCAAUGCAGAUGAGAUAUCUGCACACCGAAAGCCCAAGGUUUCCUCCGCAAUGUACAUCAACGGAGGGUAAGUCGGCCCUAAGGGUAUUCCUCGUUAAAGGGGAUUAGCCCGAUGGACAAGUCGUUAAGAUUCGACUACAGGGUAUGCGUAUUGUAAGGUGGUGACGAAGGUGGAAGAUUUAAGCCCAGCACGCUGGGUCUAAGCAGUAAAAUAGUGGUGAUUGGCAAAUCCGUUACCGUGUUUAAUUGAGCUGCGAUGGAAAGUUCCCUGGCAACAGGGGAUGAUUUAAACCCUUUCAGUUUCCAGGAAAAGCCUCAUUAUGGUCGUCGCAAGACGUGCCAAAACGCAUAUUUUUCCGUACCGCAAACCGACACAGGUGGGCUGGUCGAGUAGACUAAGGUGACCGGGAGACAGAUGAUUAAGGAACUCGGCAUAAAAGCUAGGCGUAACCUAUGGGAGAUGCCUUGCCCAAUCCCGCAAGGGUGAGGGCUGCAACAAAAGUUUAUUUGGCGACUGUUUAUCUAAAACACAGGUCCCUGCAAAGCCGAAAGGCAACGUAUAGGGGCUGACACCUGCCCAGUGCCGGUAAGUCAAUGAUGGUGAAUGAUUCUCGUAAGGGAUGAGUUUGUUAUCAAAGCUCCGGUGAACGGCAGCAGUAACUAUAACUGUUCUAUGGUAGCGAAGUUCCUUGUCGGGCAAGUUCCGACCCGCACGAAAGGUAGAACGACCAAAUAACUGUCUUAAUCAUUUACCCGGCGAAAUUGAGAUGGCUGUGAAGACGCGGCCUAGGUAUACAUGGACAAAAAGACCCCGGGAGCUUUACUGUAGCUUGACAUUUGCAAGCUUUUUUCAAUUGUUUAGAAUAGGAGGGAGAUUCGUCAUCAGUGAAAUACCUCUCUUUGAAAUGAGUGAGCAUCACUUCGACCCGCACAAAAAUACGGGCGAAGGACAGUGUCUGGUGGGCAGUUUUACUGGGGAGGUAGGCUCCUACAACGCAACGGAGCCGCACAAUGGUUGGCUAAUCAUGGAUGGAAAUCAUGAUGAUAGCGUAACGGCAAAAGCCAGCUUGACUGCGAGACUUACAAGUCGAGCAGGUGCGAAAGCAGGUCGUAGUGAUCCUGUGAUGGAUAGUGGUAUCCACACAGCUUAACGGCUAAAAGCUACCCCGGGGAUAACAGGCUGAUCGCAUCCAAGCGUCAAAUAUAUCCUUCGAUACACUCGGAAUAAUUCUGAGAAGUAUCGGUGGAUGGGCGCCUCUCGAUGGUAACAUCGAGAUGAACGAAGCAACUAAUAUCGGUGGAUCCCUGUCUAUUAAUAUGAUAGGAUAAUACCGAGGGAAGAUAAUUUGUUGUGGAUACAUUAUUAGCUAGAGAAGCAAGAAAAAUAAGUUUUUCCGAAAGGCAACGUAAGUUGCUGAUAGGUUCACUUUUAGGAGAUGGAUAUCUUGAUAAAACUACAAGAGGAUAUUCUUUGCGUAUUCAUCAUGGCAUUGCCCAG
This 2845-nucleotide ribosomal RNA is filed under the name groundwater metagenome. Its description in RNAcentral is "bacterial LSU rRNA". It matches the Rfam family "Bacterial large subunit ribosomal RNA". The record is from RNAcentral.